UACGUAGGGUGCGAGCGUUGUCCGGAAUUACUGGGCGUAAAGAGCUCGUAGGUGGUUUGUCGCGUUGUCCGUGAAAACUUACAACUCAAUUGUGGGCGUGCGGGCGAUACGGGCAGACUGGAGUACUGCAGGGGAGACUGGAAUUCCUGGUGUAGCGGUGGAAUGCGCAGAUAUCAGGAGGAACACCGGUGGCGAAGGCGGGUCUCUGGGCAGUAACUGACGCUGAGGAGCGAAAGCUAGGGGAGCGAACAGG
Molecule: ribosomal RNA, 253 nt
Filed under: uncultured bacterium
Lineage: Bacteria
Description: partial 16S ribosomal RNA
Rfam family: Bacterial small subunit ribosomal RNA
Source: RNAcentral